RNAcentral lists this ribosomal RNA (468 nucleotides) under uncultured bacterium. RNAcentral describes it as "partial 16S ribosomal RNA". It matches the Rfam family "Bacterial small subunit ribosomal RNA", at positions 28 to 507 of the family's 1533-position model. The record is from RNAcentral.
GACGAACGCUGGCGGCGUGCUUAACACAUGCAAGUCGAACGGAAAGGCCCUGCUUUUGUGGGGUGCUCGAGUGGCGAACGGGUGAGUAACACGUGAGUAACCUGCCCUUGACUUUGGGACAACUUCAGGAAACUGGGGCUAAUACCGGAUAGGAGCUCCUGCUGCAUGGUGGGGGUUGGAAAGUUUCGGCGGUUGGGGAUGGACUCGCGGCUUAUCAGCUUGUUGGUGGGGUAGUGGCUUACCAAGGCUUUGACAGGUAGCCGGCCUGAGAGGGUGACCGGCCACAUUGGGACUGAGAUACGGCCCAGACUCCUACGGGAGGCAGCAGUGGGGAAUAUUGCACAAUGGGCGGAAGCCUGAUGCAGCAACGCCGCGUGCGGGAUGACGGCCUUCGGGUUGUAAACCGCUUUCGCCUGUGACGAAGCGUGAGUGACGGUAAUGGGUAAAGAAGCACCGGCUAACUACGUG